Molecule: long non-coding RNA, 7925 nt
Filed under: Solanum tuberosum (potato)
Lineage: Eukaryota; Viridiplantae; Streptophyta; Magnoliopsida; Solanales; Solanaceae
Description: long non-coding RNA (STUB_LNC010357)
Source: RNAcentral
AUCAAUUGUACAUACGGGUACGGGCCACAGAUAAAGGAAGCUAUUUAACCCUAAUUCUAAUUGAAAUUGAAGAAUGAAAGAAAAGAGGAUUAUGGCGAUGGAUGAUAGAGUGCGGUAGCUGAUGACGUUGCUGGAUCUGGAGAUAAUGACUCGUAGAAUGGAACUUUGGGGGAUGAAGAAGCAGGAUUGCAUUAAGGGCGUAGCUGAGAUGGAAAAGCAGGAGGAUUGUGAGAUGGAAGACCAGGAUCUCAUAACAGAGAUGGACGAUCUACAUCACAUCAACAACAACAAGAACAAGGAGCAGAUGAAGAUGAAGAUGAAUCAACAGGAGGAGGAAGAGGAAGAGGUAUGUGUUUGCACUCAACUGACUCUUUUUAUUUGUAAAAUAUGGUCUAUGGAUGAUUGAUUGAUGAUUCAAUUUUGCUUCUUCAGCUUCAGGGCAUGUCGUUCACGUAUAAACCCAUGACAAGGUCACCCCAUCUUAUCCUUGGAAUUCCUUCGGAAGAAGAGACAUCAUGGGGUAUUGCUCCUCGUUGGUUAAUCUAAUGCUUGCUUCUCACAUCCCUAACGUAGUUAACUAUCUACUACUUUGCUCUAGUUUGGUUGCUUAUAUCACAUUCCUAGUAAUGUUUUUAUUUGAUGUAUAUACUUUGGAUGUAAUGUUCUGAAAUCAUCAAUGAGUUGACAAGACUAUCAUGUUUAGGCCUCAAACUUAUGAAUUCGAACCAAGGAUGGUCGUAGCUAGGUACAAAAAAGUUCAGUUCAAUGUCGAGAUGCAAUAUCAAUUUGCUCCUGUUUUUUUCAUCUGAUUGAUAAUCUAUAUCUUUCUCCAUCAGGUUUUAAGAUAAUUAUUGUUCAUGUUAUCAUAUCCCCGUCCAUCCCCUUAUAAGUUGUCUAUAUAUCUCUGCCCUCCAUGAAUGUUUCCUAGCUAGGAAUUAUGUGUAUCUUAGAAACGUUCUUGUGGAUGUUUUAUAUUUGAAUCUCGCUCAGCAACUGCAAUGAGAUAGGUAAUAGAGUAGUAAUAUUUACAUCUAUGUUCCUGCCCGUCUUACUGGUAGUGGAGUAAUGUGAUAAAUUUGUGCCUUGCUAUAUAUUUCAGAGUAAUGUCAAACAUUACUUACUUCUUUCUAUGCUUUUGUUGCACUGCAUAUAUACAAGUCUGCCACUAUCUUGUUUAGACUAUCUUCCUAUGUAGUUUCAACUUGUAAUCUCGUGAAAAAAGAAAACUACAUGAGCUCGCUCCCUCCACUGAUUGGGACUGAAUUUAUUUGUUGAUAUGCAAAAGUUGUGAGCAUCUUAGCAUGACAAAUUAUAAAAUGGUCCAGCUCACGUGAUUGUAGCCCUUGUAAAGCUCUAAGUUGCAUUCAGUUACUUCUUAGCACCUUAGAAAUGACGUUCAUGUAGAUAGAUGUUCACGUGUCCUCACUCACUCAUCUUCCUGGUAAAUGCAAUGUGAAAUAUGUUUUCUUGUCAAAUUCCCAGAAGUUGAACUUCAAAUUUGUACGUCUCUCAUAUUGAGCUAUUUUACUACUUGUGUCUCAAUUUCUUCGGUAAAAGAAAGAUGGAGAACCAGGAUCUCAUAACAGAGAUGGAGGAUCUACAUCACAUCAACAACAAGAACAAGGAGCAGAUGAAGAUGAAUCAACAGGAGGAGGAAGAGGAGGAGGAGGUAUGUGUUUGCACUCAACUGAUUCUUUUAUUUGUAAAAUAUCGUGAUUGAUUGAUAGAUGAUUCUGUCUUUCAGCUUCAGGGCAUGUCGUUCACGUUUAAACCCAUGCAUUGCUUGACAAGGUCACCCCAUCUUAUCCUUGGAAUUCCUUCUUUAUCUCCGGAAGAGGAAGAAGAGACAUCAUGGGGUAUUGCUGGUCUUGGUCCUCGUUGGUUAAUCUAAUACUUGCUUCUCACAUCCCUAGUUAUUAUAUCUCUCCAAACCUAGUUAACUAUAAACUACUUUGCUGUAGUUUGGUUGGUUAUAUCACAUUCCUAGUAAUGUUUUCAUGUAUAUGCUUUGUUCUGAAAUCAUCAAUGAGUUGACAAGACCAUCAUGUUUAGGCCUCGAACUUAUGAAUUCGAAGCAAGUAUGGAGGUAGCUAGGUACAAAAAAGUUCAGUUCAAUGUCGAGAUACAAUAUCAAUUGCUCCUGUUUUUUUCAUCUGAUUGAUAAUCUAUAUCUAUCUCCGUCAGGUUUUAAGAUAAUUAUGGUUGAUCAUGUUAUCAUAGCCUCGUCCAUCCCCUUAGAAGUUGUCUAUAUAUCUCUGCCCUCCAUGAAUGUUUCUUAGGAAUUAUGUGUAUCUUAGAAACGAAUGUUUUCUAUUUGAAUCUCGCUCAGCAACUGCAAUGAGAUAGGUAAUAGAGUAGUAAUAUUUACAUCUAUGUUCCUGCCCGUUUUUCUGGUAGUGCAGUAAAUGUAAAUGUUCCUAUUAUAAAUUCGUGCCUUGCUAUAUAUUUCAGAGUAAUGUCAAACAUUACGUACUUGUUUCUAUGCUUUUGUUGCACUGCAUAUGGUUGAGUCUGCCACUUUAUAUCUUGUCUUCCUAUCUAGUUUCAACUUGUAAUCUCGUCAAAAAAAGAAACCUCCCACUGAUUGGGACUGAUGUAUUUUUCAACUUUUGCAUGUCGUUGUUCUCUUUGCCGGAUAGUUGGCGCUCGUUGUCGGAAGAGUAUAAUCACGACUGUAAAGAUGAAGGAGCGAUGGUAAAUGACGAUGAGGUACGGAUGAUUAUUCCAUCGGCGCCUGUAAUGAUAGCUAAGGAAGGACGGGAGCUGGUUUCUGCACCUCCAUUCUAUCCUUACAAGCACGAACGACUCGAUAAUGGAUUUGUAUACCUUAUCAAGCAAUUGGAUGGACAAAAGGAAAAAGAUGAAGCGAUAAAGUUGAAGCUGAUUGUCAAGGCAGGGUAUGCAAUUUUUUGUUAAUGUUUUUUUGUGACUAGCUCUAGCUCUGAACUGAUUAAGUGAUUUUCAACAAAAUUAUUUUAGGUUUUUGCGAGACCGAUGCUUAUGAAAUACUAAUAGAUAGAUACAUACAUGUAUGCUUUUGUGAGUAGAUAAAUACAUUUAGUUUGUAUUUUGUGGCUUUUUCAGGUCCAUUUGUGAAAAUGAAGAACAACAGAGUGUUGCGUGGGUUGUUCAGCAACUUGUUUUUCUCAUGUUCUUGUUGGGACUAACGUUCAUUGGAGUUCUCGGAAGCUUUCUCAUGAUGACACCACAUAUGUGUUUUCAGUGAAUAACAUGGAGGACGCCUUGAAAGUAGUUUCACAAUCCAAUGAACGUUAGUCCCAACAAGAACAUGAGAAAAAACAAGUUGCUGAACAACCCACACAGAACUCUAUUGUUCUUUCAUUUUCACAAAUGGACUUGAAAAAGCCACAAAAUACAAACUGAAUGUAUUUAUCUAUUCACAAAAACAUACAUGUAUGAACCCUCAGGGGUUGGCCUGCUGGCAAUUGACUUGAGCCUUGGGGUUUGCUCCCUUUCAAGGUCUCAAGUUCGAAACCCACUGGGUGCAAACAAUUUCUGAGGGCCAUCGGACUGGGUAAAACCUGAAUUAACCGUGGUGCACUUGCGGGAAACUCCUUGCCGAGGGCCUGUGCACCCCCGGGAUUAGUCGGGGCUCAAAGAGACUCGGACACCCGGUGCAAAUCAAAAAAAAAAAAAACAUACAUGUAUGUAUCUAUCUAUUAGUAUUUCAUAGCAUCGGUCUCGCAAAAACCUAAAAUAAUUUUGUUGAAAAUCACUUGAUCAGUUCAGAGCUAGUCACAAAAAAUUGCAUACCCUGCCUUGACAAUCAGCUUCAACUUUAUCGCUCCAUCUUUUUCCUUUUUUCCAUCCAGUUGCUUGAUAAGGUAUACAAAUCCAUUAUCGAGUCGUUCGUGCUUGUAAGGAUAGAAUGGAGGUGCAGAAACCAGCCCCCGUUCUUCCUUAGCUGUCAUUACAGGCGCCGAUGGAAUAAUCAUGCGUACCUCAUCGUCAUUUAUGUUCUAGAUGUUCCACCUCCAAAAUUUAUGUUCCACGCCAGCAUCGGGUGUCCAGAGACACACUGGGGACGACUGACGAGUUGCAGUGUUUAGUUGUUAGUUGAGAUCAAGUUGAUGUGUCUAGAUGUGCACUCUCAAAGUUGGUCUGCUUAGUUGCCAGGUGUGGCCAUGUUUGAGUGUCUGUUUAUGUAUUAUCCCUCAUUCAUUUUAAGAUGAAGUUAAAAUUGGUGGCGGUGCUUUAUGCAGGAAGUUCAAACAAGAAGAAAGUCAUCAUCGGGGGUGUGGUUGGAGGUGUAGGACUUCUUAUGAUUGUAUUGGCAGUGUUCCUAUUGUAUCGACUAUCAAGAAAACCACAGGCAGCAGAAAGAGGUAAAAGCUAGAAGAUCACCUUAUCAAUUUGAUAUGAUCCAACAUACAAAACAAGAUAAAGAUAGAAUUGAAAGCAAUAAACAAAGCUACACACAAACAAAUUCAAAAAUAGAUGAUAAUUAUACUGAAAAAACAAUAGAAUCACCUUCUGCAAGUGAGAACAAGCAUUGUAUAAGUCCUUGAGUUCCUUUGCUUGUCCCCUUGUGAUUAUUUAUGUAGUAACUGAUAUCGUAGCUCGUGUUCAGGUAAUAUACUGGGAGCAACAGAGCUGAGAGGUCCUGUGAACUACAGAUUCAAGGAUCUAAAAAUUUCUACAAAAGAUUUCAAUGAAAGUAAUAAACUCGGUGAAGGUGGUUUUGGUGAUGUAUACAAGGUAGGUAACGCUGAAACAGUUGACGAAUCCUACUCAUUUAUCCUCCAAAUUUAAUUCAUAGGAUGAUAUUAAUGCUAUUGAACAGGGCACUUUGAAAAAUGGACAUGUAGUUGCUGUUAAAAAGCUAGCAAUGGUAUCUAGCAGAGCAAAGGCAGAUUUUGAUACUGAAGUUAGGCUUAUCAGCAACGUCCAUCAUCGCAAUCUCAUCCGUCUUUUGGGAUGUUCUAACAAGGGAGCAGAGCUAGUACUUGUUUAUGAAUACAUGGCAAAUGGCAGCCUUGAAAGAUACUUAUAUGGUUGAUUUUGUCUAUCCGGCUUAUUAUUUUCUCUCCGAGUCAAGUCAAAUCUUUAUGUUCAACAAAAAUUUAAACAAAUCCUACCUCUCAUGGUUUUGCAGGUGAUAAACAAGGGAUGCUCAACUGGAAGCAACGAUAUGAUAUGAUCAUCGGAACAGCUCGUGGCCUUGCCUACUUGCAUGAGCAAUUCCACGUCUGCAUCAUCCAUAGAGAUAUAAAAUCCAGUAACAUUCUACUAGACGAUGAAUUCCAGCCAAAAAUUGCAGAUUUUGGGCUUGUAAGACUUUUACCUGGGGAUCAGAGUCAUGUCAGCACUAAGUUUGCUGGUACCUUGUAAGUCAAACUGCUCGAGUUUCUUUCCUCAUAUCAGUUAAAACAUUAUGAGAACAGCAAACAUAUCAACGAGAUCUAAUUGAAACAGGGGAUAUACUGCGCCAGAAUAUGCAAUUCAUGGACAUCUAACAGAGAAGGUUGACGUCUAUGGCUUUGGUGUUGUUGUUCUUGAAAUAAUCAGUGGACGGAGGAGCAAUCAUAUGCAAGAAACUGAAUAUCUCCUUGAACAGGUCUGUUCUCAUUUUCAAAUUUCAUCUUCUUUUCAUAUUAUCACUAAGUUCUUUCUUCCAACAAAGCUUUCCUAUUCGAAAUGCACUUGUCACUUUGUUAAAAUAGGCGUGGAAAUUUCACGAAGCUGGAAUGCAUGUAAAACUGGUGGAUGAAACUUUAGAUGUCAGUGAAUACAACGAACAAGAAGUGAAGAAAAUCAUAGAGAUUGCCUUAAUGUGUACACAAUCACCUUCAACUUUUGCAUGUCGUUGUCUUCUUCGCCGGAUAGUUGGCGCAGGAAGAGUAUAAUCAUGACUGUAAAGAUGAAGGAGCGUUGGUAAAUGACGAUGAGGUACGCAUGAUUAUUCCAUCGGCGCCUGUAAUGACACCUAAGGAAGAACGGGGGCUGGUUUCUGCACCUCCAUUCUAUCCUUACAAGCACGAACGACUCGAUAAUGGAUUUGUAUACCUUAUCAAGCAAUUGGAUGGACAAAAGGAAAAAGAUGAAGCGAUAAAGUUGAAGCUGAUUGUCAAAGCAGGGUAUGCAAUUUUUUGUUAAUGUUUUUUGUGACUAGCUCUAGCUCUGAACUGAUUAAGUGAUUUUCAACAAAAUUAUUUUAGGUUUUUGCGAGACCGAUGCUUAUGAAAUACUAAUAGAUAGAUACAUACAUAUAUGCUUUUGUGAGUAGAUAAAUACAUUCACUGAAAACACAUAUGUGGUGUCAUCAUGAGAAAGCUUCCGAGAACUCCAAUGAACGUUAGUCCCAACAAGAACAUGAGAAAAAACAAGUUGCUGAACAACCCAACAGAACUCUAUUGUUCUUUCAUUUUCACAAAUGGACCUGAAAAAGCCACGAAAUACAAACUGAAUGUAUUUAUCUACUCACAAAAGCAUAUAUGUAUGUAUCUAUCUAUUAGUAUUUCAUAAGCAUCGGUCUCGCAAAAACCUAAAAUAAUUUUGUUGAAAAUCACUUGAUCAGUUCAGAGCUAGUCACAAAAAAUUGCAUACCCUGCCUUGACAAUCAGCUUCAACUUUAUCGCUCCAUCUUUUUCCUUUUUUCCAUCCAGUUGCUUGAUAAGGUAUACAAAUCCAUUAUCGAGUCGUUCGUGCUUGUAAGGAUAGAAUGGAGGUGCAGAAACCAGCCCCCGUUCUUCCUUAGGUGUCAUUACAGGCGCCGAUGGAAUAAUCAUGCGUACCUCAUCGUCAUUUACCAACGCUCCUUCAUCUUUACAGUCAUGAUUAUACUCUUCCUGCGCCAACUAUCCGGCGAAGAGGACAACGACAUGCAAAAGUUGAAAAAUACAUCUCUUCGCCGGAUAGUUGGCGCUCGUCGUCGGAAGAGUAUAAUCACGACUGUAAAGAUGAAGGAGGGUUGGUAAAUGACGAAGCUGGAUCUGGGGAUAAUGACUCGUAUAAUGGAACUUUGGGGGAUGAAGGCGGAGAAUCAGAAGCAGGAUUGUAUUAAGGGUGUAACUGAGAUGGAAAAGCAGGAUAGUGAGAUGGAAAAUCAGGAUCUCAUAACAGAGGAGGACGAUCUACAUCACAUCAACAAGAAGCAGAAAAUGGAUAGUGAGAUGGAAAACCAGGAUCUCAUAUCAGAGAUGGAGGAUCUACAUCACAACAAGAACAAGGAGCAGAUGAAUCAACAUGAGGAAGAGGAGGUAUGUGUUUACACUCAACUGACUCUUUUUAUCUGUAAAAUAUCGUGAUUGAUUGAUGAUUCUGUCUUUCAAUUUUGCUUGCUUCAGCUUCAAGGCAUGUCGUUCACGUAUAAACCGAUGCAUUGCUUGACAAGGUCUCCCCAUCUUAUCUUUGGAAUUCCUUGUAUACCUCCUGAAGAGGAAGAAGAGACAUCAUGGGGUAUUGCUGGUCUUGGUCCUCGUUGGUUAAUCUAAUACUUGCUUCUACAUCCCUACUACUUUGCUCUAGUUUGGUUGCUUAUAUCACAUUCCUAGUAAUGUUUUCAUGUAUAUACUUUGUUCUGAAAUCAUCAAUGAGUUGACAUGACCAUCAUGUUUAAGCCUCGAACUUAUGAAUUCGAACCAAGUAUGGUGGUAGCUAGGUCAUUCUAAGUACAAAAUAGUUCAGUUCAAUGUCGAGAUGCAAUAUCAAUUUGCUCCUGUUUUUUUCAUCUGAUUGAUAAUCUAUAUCUUUCAACUUUUGCAUGUCAGGUUUUAAGAUAAUUAUGGUUCAUGUUAUCAUAGCCCCGUCCAUCCCCUUAGAAGUUUUCUAUAUAUCUCUGCCCUCCAUGAAUGUGUCCUAGGAAUUAUGUGUAUCUUAGAAACGGAUGUUUUCUAUUUGAAUCUCGCUCAGCAACUGCAAUGAGAUAGGUAAUAGAGUAGUAAUAUUUACAUCUAUGUUCCUGC